AUACAGAGGUGGCAAGCGUUGUUCGGUAUCACUGGGCUUAAGGGCGCGUAGGCGGCGCAGAACGGUCCGGGUGAAAUCCCACGGCUCAACCGUGGAAUGGCCUGGGCUACGGCUGUGCUAGACAGCAUCAGGGGAAGGUGGAACUCCGGGUGGAGCGGUGAAAUGCGUAGAUAUCCGGAGGAACGCCGGUGGCGAAAGCGACCUUCUGGGGUGCUUGUGACGCUGAGGCGCGAAAGCUAGGGGAGCGAACGGGAUUAGAAACCCCAGUAGUCC
Molecule: ribosomal RNA, 273 nt
Filed under: uncultured bacterium
Lineage: Bacteria
Description: partial 16S ribosomal RNA
Rfam family: Bacterial small subunit ribosomal RNA
Source: RNAcentral